This 270-nucleotide ribosomal RNA is filed under the name uncultured prokaryote. Its description in RNAcentral is "partial 16S ribosomal RNA". It matches the Rfam family "Archaeal small subunit ribosomal RNA", at positions 474 to 743 of the family's 1478-position model. The record is from RNAcentral.
UACCAGCGGUCCAAGUCGCAGCCAUUUUUAUUGGGUCUAAAACAUUCGUAGCUUGCUCUGUAAGUCUCUUGUGAAAUCUUACAUCUUAAGUGUAAGGCGUGCAAGAGAUACUACAAAGCUAGAGACCGGAAGACGCAAGGAGUACGCCUAAGGAAGUGGUAAAAUAUGUUAAUCUUAGGUGGACUAACAAUGGCGAAGGCACCUUGCGAGCACGGAUCUGACAGUGAGGAAUGAAGGCUAGGGGCGCAAAAUGGAUUAGAUACCCUCGUA